AACGAACGCUGGCGGCAUGCCUAACACAUGCAAGUCGAACGAGACCUUCGGGUCUAGUGGCGCACGGGUGCGUCACGCGUGGGAACCUGCCCUUAGGUUCGGAAUAACUCCCCGACAGGGGUGCUAAUACCGGAUAAUGUCUUCGGACCAAAGAUUUAUCGCCUUUGGAUGGGCCCGCGUUGGAUUAGCUAGUUGGUAGGGUAAAAGCCUACCAAGGCGACGAUCCAUAGCUGGUCUGAGAGGAUGAUCAGCCACACUGGGACUGAGACACGGCCCAGACUCCUACGGGAGGAAGCAGUGGGGAAUAUUGGACAAUGGGCGAAAGCCUGAUCCAGCAAUGCCGCGUGAGUGAUGAAGGCCUUAGGGUUGUAAAGCUCUUUUACCCGGGAUGAUAAUGACAGUACCGGGAGAAUAAGCUCCGGCUAACUCCGUG
Molecule: ribosomal RNA, 433 nt
Filed under: uncultured bacterium
Lineage: Bacteria
Description: partial 16S ribosomal RNA
Rfam family: Bacterial small subunit ribosomal RNA
Source: RNAcentral